GAUGAACGCUGGCGGCGUGCCUAAUACAUGCAAGUCGAGCGAACAGACGAGGAGCUUGCUCCUCUGACGUUAGCGGCGGACGGGUGAGUAACACGUGGAUAACCUACCUAUAAGACUGGGAUAACUUCGGGAAACCGGAGCUAAUACCGGAUAAUAUAUUGAACCGCAUGGUUCAAUAGUAAAAGACGGUUUUGCUGUCACUUAUAGAUGGAUCCGCGCCGCAUUAGCUAGUUGGUAAGGUAACGGCUUACCAAGGCAACGAUGCGUAGCCGACCUGUGAGGGUGAUCGGCCACACUGGAACUGAGACACGGUCCAGACUCCUACGGGAGGCAGCAGUAGGGAAUCUUCCGCAAUGGGCGAAAGCCUGACGGAGCAACGCCGCGUGAGUGAUGAAGGUCUUCGGAUCGUAAAACUCUGUUAUUAGGGAAGAACAAAUGUGUAAGUAACUAUGCACGUCUUGACGGUACCUAAUCAGAAAGCCACGGCUAACUACGUG
Molecule: ribosomal RNA, 497 nt
Filed under: uncultured bacterium
Lineage: Bacteria
Description: partial 16S ribosomal RNA
Rfam family: Bacterial small subunit ribosomal RNA
Source: RNAcentral